GAAGGGGGCUAGCGUUGCUCGGAAUUACUGGGCGUAAAGGGAGCGUAGGCGGACAGUUUAGUCAGAGGUGAAAGCCCAGGGCUCAACCUUGGAAUUGCCUUUGAUACUGGCUGUCUUGAGUACGGGAGAGGUGUGUGGAACUCCGAGUGUAGAGGUGAAAUUCGUAGAUAUUCGGAAGAACACCAGUGGCGAAGGCGACACACUGGCCCGUUACUGACGCUGAGGCUCGAAAGCGUGGGGAGCAAACAGGAUUAGAUACCCUGGUAGUCCACGCUGUAAACGAUGAGUGCUAGUUGUCGGCAUGCAUGCAUGUCGGUGACGCAGCUAACGCAUUAAGCACUCCGCCUGGGGAGUACGGUCGCAAGAUUA
RNAcentral lists this ribosomal RNA (369 nucleotides) under uncultured bacterium. RNAcentral's name for it is "bacterial SSU rRNA". It matches the Rfam family "Bacterial small subunit ribosomal RNA", at positions 527 to 896 of the family's 1533-position model. The record is from RNAcentral.